UGGAUGAUGUGGUUUAAUCGAUGCAACGCGAAAACCUUACCACCUUUGACAUGGCAGGAAUCCCGAAGAGAUUUGGGAGUGCUCGAAAGAGAACCUGCACACAGGUGCUGCAUGGCUGUCGUCAGCUCGUGUCGUGAGAUGUUGGGUUAAGUCCCGCAACGAGCGCAACCCUUGCCAUUAGUUGCUACGAAAGGGCACUCUAAUGGGACUGCCGGUGACAAACCGGAGGAAGGUGGGGAUGACGUCAAGUCCUCAUGGCCCUUAUAGGUGGGGCUACACACGUCAUACAAUGGCCGGUACAGAGGGUAGCCAACCCGCGAGGGGGAGCCAAUCCCACAAAGCCGGUCGUAGUCCGGAUCGCAGUCUGCAACUCGACUGCGUGAAGUCGGAAUCGCUAGUAAUCGCGGAUCAGCAUGUCGCGGUGAAUACGUUCCCGGGCCUU
This 442-nucleotide ribosomal RNA is filed under the name uncultured Allobrachymonas sp. Its description in RNAcentral is "bacterial SSU rRNA". It matches the Rfam family "Bacterial small subunit ribosomal RNA", at positions 933 to 1382 of the family's 1533-position model. Lineage: Bacteria; Pseudomonadati; Pseudomonadota; Betaproteobacteria; Burkholderiales; Comamonadaceae. The record is from RNAcentral.